GGGUUGUGAGGUUAAGCGACUAAGCGUACACGGUGGAUGCCCUGGCAGUCAGAGGCGAUGAAGGACGUGCUAAUCUGCGAUAAGCGUCGGUGAGGUGAUAUGAACCGUUAUAACCGGCGAUUUCCGAAUGGGGAAACCCAGUGUGUUUCGACACACUAUCAUUAACUGAAUCCAUAGGUUAAUGAGGCGAACCGGGGGAACUGAAACAUCUAAGUACCCCGAGGAAAAGAAAUCAACCGAGAUUCCCCCAGUAGCGGCGAGCGAACGGGGAGGAGCCCAGAGUCUGAAUCAGUGUGUGUGUUAGUGGAAGCGUCUGGAAAGGCGCGCGAUACAGGGUGACAGCCCCGUACACAAAAAUGCACAUAUUGUGAGCUCGAUGAGUAGGGCGGGACACGUGGUAUCCUGUCUGAAUAUGGGGGGACCAUCCUCCAAGGCUAAAUACUCCUGACUGACCGAUAGUGAACCAGUACCGUGAGGGAAAGGCGAAAAGAACCCCGGCGAGGGGAGUGAAAAAGAACCUGAAACCGUGUACGUACAAGCAGUGGGAGCCUCUUAAUGGGGUGACUGCGUACCUUUUGUAUAAUGGGUCAGCGACUUAUAUUCUGUAGCAAGGUUAACCGAAUAGGGGAGCCGAAGGGAAACCGAGUCUUAACUGGGCGUUAAGUUGCAGGGUAUAGACCCGAAACCCGGUGAUCUAGCCAUGGGCAGGUUGAAGGUUGGGUAACACUAACUGGAGGACCGAACCGACUAAUGUUGAAAAAUUAGCGGAUGACUUGUGGCUGGGGGUGAAAGGCCAAUCAAACCGGGAGAUAGCUGGUUCUCCCCGAAAGCUAUUUAGGUAGCGCCUCGUGAAUUCAUCUCCGGGGGUAGAGCACUGUUUCGGCAAGGGGGUCAUCCCGACUUACCAACCCGAUGCAAACUGCGAAUACCGGAGAAUGUUAUCACGGGAGACACACGGCGGGUGCUAACGUCCGUCGUGAAGAGGGAAACAACCCAGACCGCCAGCUAAGGUCCCAAAGUCAUGGUUAAGUGGGAAACGAUGUGGGAAGGCCCAGACAGCCAGGAUGUUGGCUUAGAAGCAGCCAUCAUUUAAAGAAAGCGUAAUAGCUCACUGGUCGAGUCGGCCUGCGCGGAAGAUGUAACGGGGCUAAACCAUGCACCGAAGCUGCGGCAGCGACACUAUGUGUUGUUGGGUAGGGGAGCGUUCUGUAAGCCUGUGAAGGUGUGCUGUGAGGCAUGCUGGAGGUAUCAGAAGUGCGAAUGCUGACAUAAGUAACGAUAAAGCGGGUGAAAAGCCCGCUCGCCGGAAGACCAAGGGUUCCUGUCCAACGUUAAUCGGGGCAGGGUGAGUCGACCCCUAAGGCGAGGCCGAAAGGCGUAGUCGAUGGGAAACAGGUUAAUAUUCCUGUACUUGGUGUUACUGCGAAGGGGGGACGGAGAAGGCUAUGUUGGCCGGGCGACGGUUGUCCCGGUUUAAGCGUGUAGGCUGGUUUUCCAGGCAAAUCCGGAAAACCAAGGCUGAGGCGUGAUGACGAGGCACUACGGUGCUGAAGCGACAAAUGCCCUGCUUCCAGGAAAAGCCUCUAAGCAUCAGGUAACAUCAAAUCGUACCCCAAACCGACACAGGUGGUCAGGUAGAGAAUACCAAGGCGCUUGAGAGAACUCGGGUGAAGGAACUAGGCAAAAUGGUGCCGUAACUUCGGGAGAAGGCACGCUGAUAUGUAGGUGAAGCGACUUGCUCGUGGAGCUGAAAUCAGUCGAAGAUACCAGCUGGCUGCAACUGUUUAUUAAAAACACAGCACUGUGCAAACACGAAAGUGGACGUAUACGGUGUGACGCCUGCCCGGUGCCGGAAGGUUAAUUGAUGGGGUUAGCGGUAACGCGAAGCUCUUGAUCGAAGCCCCGGUAAACGGCGGCCGUAACUAUAACGGUCCUAAGGUAGCGAAAUUCCUUGUCGGGUAAGUUCCGACCUGCACGAAUGGCGUAAUGAUGGCCAGGCUGUCUCCACCCGAGACUCAGUGAAAUUGAACUCGCUGUGAAGAUGCAGUGUACCCGCGGCAAGACGGAAAGACCCCGUGAACCUUUACUAUAGCUUGACACUGAACAUUGAGCCUUGAUGUGUAGGAUAGGUGGGAGGCUUUGAAGUGUGGACGCCAGUCUGCAUGGAGCCGACCUUGAAAUACCACCCUUUAAUGUUUGAUGUUCUAACGUGGGCCCCUAAUCGGGGUUGCGGACAGUGUCUGGUGGGUAGUUUGACUGGGGCGGUCUCCUCCUAAAGAGUAACGGAGGAGCACGAAGGUUGGCUAAUCCUGGUCGGACAUCAGGAGGUUAGUGCAAUGGCAUAAGCCAGCUUGACUGCGAGCGUGACGGCGCGAGCAGGUGCGAAAGCAGGUCAUAGUGAUCCGGUGGUUCUGAAUGGAAGGGCCAUCGCUCAACGGAUAAAAGGUACUCCGGGGAUAACAGGCUGAUACCGCCCAAGAGUUCAUAUCGACGGCGGUGUUUGGCACCUCGAUGUCGGCUCAUCACAUCCUGGGGCUGAAGUAGGUCCCAAGGGUAUGGCUGUUCGCCAUUUAAAGUGGUACGCGAGCUGGGUUUAGAACGUCGUGAGACAGUUCGGUCCCUAUCUGCCGUGGGCGCUGGAGAACUGAGGGGGGCUGCUCCUAGUACGAGAGGACCGGAGUGGACGCAUCACUGGUGUUCGGGUUGUCAUGCCAAUGGCACUGCCCGGUAGCUAAAUGCGGAAGAGAUAAGUGCUGAAAGCAUCUAAGCACGAAACUUGCCCCGAGAUGAGUUCUCCCUGACUCCUUGAGAGUCCUGAAGGAACGUUGAAGACGACGACGUUGAUAGGCCGGGUGUGUAAGCGCAGCGAUGCGUUGAGCUAACCGGUACUAAUGAACCGUGAGGCUUAACCUUACAACGCCGAAG
RNAcentral lists this ribosomal RNA (2925 nucleotides) under Escherichia coli. RNAcentral's name for it is "23S ribosomal RNA". It matches the Rfam family "Bacterial large subunit ribosomal RNA". Lineage: Bacteria; Pseudomonadati; Pseudomonadota; Gammaproteobacteria; Enterobacterales; Enterobacteriaceae. The record is from RNAcentral.